GUUUCUAUAGUGUUAUUUAGCACACUGGAUUUUCGUUCCAGAGGAAUAAAAUUUUAUUAGAAAUA
RNAcentral lists this transfer RNA (65 nucleotides) under Typhlosyrinx sp. MNHN IM 2013-18371. RNAcentral's name for it is "tRNA-Glu". The record is from RNAcentral. Lineage: Eukaryota; Metazoa; Mollusca; Gastropoda; Neogastropoda; Raphitomidae.